Molecule: ribosomal RNA, 466 nt
Filed under: uncultured bacterium
Lineage: Bacteria
Description: partial 16S ribosomal RNA
Rfam family: Bacterial small subunit ribosomal RNA
Source: RNAcentral
CUACGGGGGGCUGCAGUGAGGAAUAUUGCGCAAUGGGGGAAACCCUGACGCAGCGACGCCGCGUGGAUGAUGAAGGCCUUAGGGUCGUAAAAUCCUGUCAGGUGGGAAGAAGUGGAUAUAGAUUAAUACUCUAUUUCUUUGACGGUACCACCAAAGGAAGCACCGGCUAACUCCGUGCCAGCAGCCGCGGUAAUACGGAGGGUGCAAACGUUGUUCGGAAUUGACUGGGCGUAAAGCGCGCGUAGGCGGUUUGUUAAGUCAGAUGUGAAAGUCCAUGGCUCAGCUAUGGAAGUGCAUUUGAAACUGGCAGACUUGAGUACUGGAGGGGGUGAUGGAAUUCCCGGUGUAGAGGUGAAAUUCGUAGAUAUCGGGAGGAAUACCGGUGGCGAAGGCGAUCACCUGGCCAGAUACUGACGCUGAGGUGCGAAAGCGUGGGGAGCAAACAGGAUUAGAUACCCUUGUAGUC